Small nucleolar RNA from Rattus norvegicus (Norway rat), 144 nucleotides. Ensembl annotates it as small nucleolar RNA SNORA48. The record is from Ensembl. NCBI's taxonomy places the organism in Eukaryota, Metazoa, Chordata, Mammalia, Rodentia, Muridae.
UCCCCGUGGCAAUGAGCAAAGAGACACCUUGUUGGUGGUGUUAUUCUUACGUCUGGCAAGGGCAGCACAAAUGACUGUCCUUUGUUCAUCCUAACUUGAUGUCUGGCUUGGUGGCCACAGCAGUCUUAUGCCUAGGAUUCAUAA